GUGCCAGCAGCCGCGGUAAUACGGAGGGUGCAAGCGUUAAUCGGAAUUACUGGGCGUAAAGCGCACGCAGGCGGUUUGUUAAGUCAGAUGUGAAAUCCCCGGGCUCAACCUGGGAACUGCAUCUGAUACUGGCAAGCUUGAGUCU
RNAcentral lists this ribosomal RNA (145 nucleotides) under Escherichia sp. RNAcentral describes it as "partial 16S rRNA". It matches the Rfam family "Bacterial small subunit ribosomal RNA", at positions 505 to 649 of the family's 1533-position model. Lineage: Bacteria; Pseudomonadati; Pseudomonadota; Gammaproteobacteria; Enterobacterales; Enterobacteriaceae. The record is from RNAcentral.